Molecule: long non-coding RNA, 2755 nt
Filed under: Salmo salar (Atlantic salmon)
Lineage: Eukaryota; Metazoa; Chordata; Actinopteri; Salmoniformes; Salmonidae
Description: lncRNA (ENSSSAG00000097691.1, ENSSSAG00075066561.1)
Source: RNAcentral
ACUAAGUUCACCUUAACCUCCCCACAAAAAGAAAAACAUUUAUAUAGGAAGAAAUACAGUGGACUCAUUUCAUGCUCCAAAAUCUAAAGACUACUUAAUUGUUACAUUUUUGCACACAGGAAGACUGUGCAAACAAGCACACAGAAACCAUUCAUUAACUUUCCAACCUCUACCUUCCUAACAGAACAGUUGUCACAAAGUCUUUUUCAGUAACCCAGCCUAGACCCCCAAAUUGAUUUAUCAAUCAAGGUUAUUGCUUAGUUAUUAACUCUCCCCAAAUGGAUGCCUAGUUCUUAAUUGGACAGGAAUGAAAAAUAAAUAACAGAACCAGCUGCCACCCUGCCCUCCAAGAUUUGAGUUUUACACCCCUGAUUUACAUCAAGCUGAUAGGACAAGCCCCUACUACUGUAACCAGCACGUAUUUGAGCUUUUCCAAGCCACUGUGUAUUUUCAGUCUAAGGCACCCAUGCCUUUGAGCUCAUAUAGCAGGGAGAUAAAGACAAGCUACCUUGAAAUCUGCAGACAGACACAGGCUGACUGGUUAAGGGGGCACAGUGAGAUGCGGUAGUGGAGAUACAAGUUCUAAUGACACUCGACAGUUCUGCCCACUGGCAAUGGGCUGGCCUUUAGAGGCCCACCUUAAAAUAGAUCAGGAAAGAGAGUUUAUGCUUCCCCUGAAGGCCAGGUGGCAUGGUAUGUAUGUGUGGACAAAUGUAAGCUGUACUGACAUAGAGGGGUUAUGUGUUAGUGUGUGUCUGUGUAGAGUAUAUGUCUGUGAGCCUGGAUACUUCUGUAUGUUGUCCUUAUGCUUUAGGAUGCCUUCAAAUAAAAACAUAGUGGGGUGGGGAGAAAUGAUUCUGUAAAACGCUGUUCUACCUUUUCAAUUGGUUGACGGAUACGUCCUUGUAACUUUUCUGAUGAACAGAGCAACACAACAAUAGGCCCUGCCCCAAUUGAAAACAUUGAGUUGUUCCAUUUUUACGCAUCAGUUUGUCUAGUUUGAAGGCACCCUGAGUGCAUGUGAAAGCGUCAGAGAAUUUGUAGAAUUUCGACUGUAGACAAUAGUCUGGUAUCUUCUAUCACCCUAACUGUUGUGGUAUCAGCAGUGUGGGGAUUUCAGUGACACUAGGUAUUCAGUAGUGUUGGGGUAUCAGCAGUGUGGGGAUUUCAGCAACACUACAGUAGGUAUUCAGUACUGUUGGGGUUUCAGCAGUGUGAGGAUUUCAGUAACACUAGGUAUUCAGUAGUGUUUGGGUUUCAGCAGUGUGGGGAUUUCAGCAACACUAGGUAUUCAGUAGUGUUGGGGUAUCAGCAGUGUGGGGAUUUCAGUGACACUAGGUAUUCAGUAGUGUUGGGGUAUCAGCAGUGUGGGGAUUUCAGUGACACUAGGUAUUCAGUAGUGUUGGGGUAUCAGCAGUGUGGGGAUUUCAGUGACACUAGGUAUUCAGUAGUGUUGGGGUAUCAGCAGUGUGGGGAUUUCAGUGACACUAGGUAUUCAGUAGUGUUGGGGUAUCAGCAGUGUGGGGAUUUCAGUGACACUAGGUAUUCAGUAGUGUUGGGGUAUCAGCAGUGUGGGGAUUUCAGUGACACUAGGUAUUCAGUAGUGUUGGGGUAUCAGCAGUGUGGGGAUUUCAGUGACACUAGGUAUUCAGUAGUGUUGGGGUAUCAGCAGUGUGGGGAUUUCGGCAGUGUUAGGAUUUUAGGAGCGCUGGGAUUUGGGCGCCAGAUGUCCUGCUGCUGACUGUCGUGUGUUGGCUCUGGGAGUGCUGAGGCUGCCUAAGGGAGGUGUGUGUGUCUGUACAUUUCCAUUUCCCUUUAAUUUGAGCAUUUGGAGGUUUUGUACAGUAUGAAAUAUAUGCUUUAUGAAAGGAUGUGUUGGUGAGGUACAGUAAGGGAAAUUAUUGUUUACUUCAGUAAGAUCUGUGAUUCAGCCACUCCCCCGGGCUUGAAGUGGCACGAAGCCAGUAACAGUCAAGGACAGGCAAGUUCAGAGGUCAGGUUGGUAACACCAGGUCAUAUUACUGGACAUGCUAGGUUAACACUUCCCUUCAGGCAGCUUCAAAUAAAAGUCUUAUGAAUUCAGCCAUUUUUUCUGAAUAUAUUUUCCUGCUUCAUACUAUAUGUCUACUGGCAUAAGUAUGACAUUAUCAAUCCUCAGGCAUUAUGUCACUCUUAUGGCAGUGUUAUGUAGGCUCUGUGUACGUCCUCCUCAAGUCAAGUGAAAAAUAACUACUGUCUGUUUAACUGAAGCCAAUAGUUUAAAGGAGGAUGUCCUCACAUGUCUUGUUAUCUGAUUAAUCAGACGGAAGCUCCAGGCUACUGUGUGAGAACGCUGACUAAAUCCUUAAUAGGGGAGCUCAAUGCACCACCAUGCAUUGAGUCACUUCUAACGUUUCUGUACCAUAUCUAUUUGAAAUGUUACGGUUGGAAAAUCUCCACAAUUUGGCCCUUAAUUACCAUUGAAGAAUUUGUAUUUGUUAUUUUAUUUAUUUAACCUUUAUUUAACUAGGCAAGUCAGUUAAGAACAAAUUCUUAUUUACAAUGACGGCCUACCAAAAGGCAAAAGGCCUCAGGCGGGAACGGGGGCUGGGAUUAAAAAUAAAAUUUAGGAUAAAACACACAUCACGACAGAGAGACACCACAACACCACAUAAAUAGACACCUAAGACAACAACAUAGGGUAUCUAGUUGUUACAGCUCAUCACCUAAGACAACAACAUAGGGUAUCUAGUUGUUACAGCUCAUCACCUAAGAC